Molecule: ribosomal RNA, 391 nt
Filed under: uncultured bacterium
Lineage: Bacteria
Description: bacterial SSU rRNA
Rfam family: Bacterial small subunit ribosomal RNA
Source: RNAcentral
GACGAACGCUGGCGGCGUGCUUAACACAUGCAAGUCGAGCGGUAAGGCCCUUUCGGGGGUACGACGAGCGGCGAACGGGUGAGUAACACGUGGGUGACCUGCCCUCAGCUCUGGGAUAAGCCUGGGAAACCGGGUCUAAUACCGGAUAUGACUCCAUGACGCAUGUUGUGGGGUGGAAAGCCUUGUGCGGCUGAGGAUGGGCCCGCGGCCUAUCAGCUUGUUGGUGGGGGAUGGCCUACCAAGGCGACGACGGGUAGCCGGCCUGAGAGGGCGACCGGCCACACUGGGACUGAGACACGGCCCAGACUCCUACGGGAGGCAGCAGUGGGGAAUCUUGCGCAAUGGGCGAAAGCCUGACGCAGCGACGCCGCGUGAGGGAUGACGGCCUGGU